AUUAAUUAAAGACUGCAGGUUUACCAAUUGAGAGGACUUCGAUUAACAUAAGGUUUGUGACACAUCUCAUUAAUGAAUUCUUUUUUCACUUUUCUAUCAUAUUUUCAUGCUAUUGUUUUAUAUAUUUUAACAUUUUAUUUUGCAGAUUAAUAAAUACGUUAUUUAUUCUUCAGGUUUCAUCAUCCAAUCUACAUGCCCAAUAUAAUUUUUUUAGUUUGUCAAAUAAAUUUUUACUUCUUGUGUAAUUUCAUUUUCAAGGUAUUUAUAUUUAAAUUCAUAUUUGCAGUCUACUAGCUUAUUUUAUUAUUUUCUGGUUACUUUUUGAGUUUUUUUGGCACUACAUAGUUCCAUAAUAAUCUUUCAUUUUUAUAUUUUUUAGUGUAUUCUAUUUUAUUAUGUUUUGUUAAUAUUUUUUACUUUUUAUUCUUGGUUUUGUUAGUCUGACUUUCAAAAACUUUAUUUUUAUUUUCUUUUGAUUUUUUCAUCUGUUGCUUUCUUUUC
Molecule: long non-coding RNA, 501 nt
Filed under: Phoenix dactylifera (date palm)
Lineage: Eukaryota; Viridiplantae; Streptophyta; Magnoliopsida; Arecales; Arecaceae
Description: long non-coding RNA (PDAC_LNC015738)
Source: RNAcentral